This is a non-coding RNA of Arachis ipaensis, 2626 nucleotides long. The record is from RefSeq and is a predicted model, not a curated record. NCBI's taxonomy places the organism in Eukaryota, Viridiplantae, Streptophyta, Magnoliopsida, Fabales, Fabaceae.
UACGUUUUCUCGACUUGAGCCAAUCUGAAACAUCCCCGACAUAAAUACUUGUGAGAAACAGUAAGGAAAAUACAAAGACACGUGGCAUUCUUACCUCACAUGCCAGCAUAUCAGGGAUUCUGCGCGCGCUCUCUUCCAUUGCUUCCCCUUCACCACUCAACCAGCUCCGCCGAGCGACUCAAUAAUGGACCCUCCGAUUCGUGACUCGGAGUCCAACCCUAAACCCCUCUGUGAAAACAAAGACGUCGUCUUCAUCGACACCAACCUCGACACUCACUUGGCCGUCCUCGUCUCCGAUCACGAUACCGUCUCCGACCUCAAAGAGCGAAUUUCGUCAGGACACCAAUCAUGCUUUCCCAAACUUGGGCAGAUACAUAUUCAUGCAAUGAAGAUAAUGCCUUGACUGGUUUGAUCAAUGAUGAGAAAGAAGAACAUGAUUUUGUGAAUGCAUUCGAUAAAGCUGUUAAGGAUGAUAACGUCGUUUGCGAAGAUGAAAUGUCAAAAUCUGUGUCUAGUGCAAAGGAAAAACAGAUGAGUACAAGGAAAGAAGAUGAUACUGUGGAAUAUGAUGCUUCUGUUUUUAGGCCAGGUAAUGAUACUGUUCAAAGGGAGAUUGACGUUAUGGCAGACCCUUCAUUAAAUGCAACUAAAGAAGUAAUCAUUGAAAGUGAAGUUCUAAAGGAGCAUCAGCACAAUGAAUUCAAUGAUAAUAACACGACAAUUGGCAUUGGUACUGAGUCAAUGAAAGAGGCUACUGAACCUUUACGUGCUACAAAUAAGAAGAAGAAAAGUAAGAGAUAUUUGAUUCAUGAUGCUGACAUUAUAGAGAAGAAAGGGAAGAAGAGAUCGUCAAAUUCUCAUGAGACACGUUUGACUUCAUUCAAGAAAGAUGCAGAAGCAUAUCCUUCCAACAUUGGAGGGGGUGUUGAAGUGGAAAUUUAUGAAGAUGGUAUAGUCUCUAAAGAUAACAGCAUGAGCAAACCUACGCCUGAAAAAAUGGAGAUUGGAACUGAUGCAUCCUUAGAAGGCAUUCCAUCUAAAGUAAAGAAGUCAGAAAAACACAACCGUUCUGAUGUUGAAACAAAAUUACAACCUUCGGGUGUAAAGGAGCCAAAGGAACCCAAGCAGUUGAAUGAAGAUAAUUUGAAUAUUGUUCUUGACCAGUGCAAUGAAAGUGAGGUUGGUCUGAUUGAUAGAGCUGAAGGAAGAAGAGAAGUAUUACAAGAUGAUCCUAAGCCAAUGCAGUUGGAAGAAUGCACACCAUCUGAACAGAAUAAUAACACUGAAGCAAAUAUCAAGGAAUCAAAUGUGACUCCGAAAGCUCUUUAUAUGAAUGAGAUGGGUGAACCUGUAAAAUCUGAGAAAAAGAAGAGAAGGAAGAGAAAAGAUAUGGAUUUGGACGAAAGAACAACUACAAAAGAAGAGUGCACACCAUCUGAACAGAAUAAUACAGAUGCAAAUGUCAGUGAAUUAAAUGUGACUUCAAAAGUUGCUGUUUCAAAAGUUGUUGUGCUUGGACUCAGUGUAGUAGAAAAAUCAGAGAAGAAGAAAAGAAAGACAAGAAAAAGAUAAGGAUUCAGAUGUAGGAACAACGAGACUACAAUAUUUUGAGGUAUUUAUAAUUUCUUAUUAAAAUAAGUGUCCUUGAUGAUUCUUGUGCCAAUUUCACUCACUUAGAAAUAGUGUUUUCCUGAAAUUUGGAACUAAUUAUCUUGUUGAAUAAAAUUUGUUCAGAUUCACUUGGUGGAAAAAGACUGGAAAGUGGUGAAAAAAAUGACUUUAAAGGAAGGUAAGGUAGUGAAUUGUAUUUCUCUGGCUAUAAGCAGCAACCUUUCUUUCUCGUUAUUUUACUUUUUGUGUGGAUUCUUGAAUCUUGACACUCUAGUAUUAAGUUUGACCGACUUUAAGCCGAACUUAUAGUUGACAGAAGAUUAUGGAUUUCUGGUUAUCAUAUUAACAUAGAGCUACACUUUUGAGUAUAAUGCUGAAAUCUAAAGGUAUUUGAUUGAUUAAUCAAAUGAUGCUGAAUAAUCAUGAAACAAAGAAUAAUAAGGGGCAUUUUUGUAAAUAGCUGGCAAGAUCAUGCUGCUUAAAAUGGUUAGUUUGAAAUUAUGAACUUCCACUCUUUCACAUUAUUUACAUCGUUGCAAACCAUAGGUGUUUCACCUUAAUUACCUAGGGUAAGACCCGCAGUACGCGUGGGUUAAAUGAUCAAAUAUAAAAAUUAGUUGGGACAUACUCAUUGAUACUAAUAGUUGUUAUUUUUACUUUGAAAAUUUUUUUAUGCAUAAAAAUCGAUAGUAUAGGGUAAAAUACUGUUCUAUUCCCUACUUUCAAUAGCCUAAAUAAUCGUUUUUUUUUUAGUUUAUAUCAGUAGAUUCCACUUAUAUGUGAAAAGGCUAUUAUGUAUGUGUAUUUAAAUAAAACUAGUAACACUAUGUUAUUGUUAUGCAUAAAAAAAUUAAAUAAUUAAUACAAAUAAUUUCAUUGUAAUCACACAGACAACUAUAACUAUGUGACAUUCAGUUAUAUAUUUAGAUCUGAAUCUAACUCGGUAAAUGAUAAAUGUGCUAUUAAGUAAUCAAAUAACAAAGAUAAAAGUUGCAUUGAUGUGUGUCAUUUAAUA